RNAcentral lists this ribosomal RNA (469 nucleotides) under uncultured bacterium. Its description in RNAcentral is "SSU rRNA". It matches the Rfam family "Bacterial small subunit ribosomal RNA", at positions 26 to 518 of the family's 1533-position model. The record is from RNAcentral.
AGGACGAACGCUGGCGGCGUGCUUAACACAUGCAAGUCGAGCGGAAAGGCCCUUCGGGGUACUCGAGCGGCGAACGGGUGAGUAACACGUGAGCAACCUGCCCUUGGCUCUGGGAUAGCCUCCGGAAACGGGGAUUAAUACCGGACAUUCACUUUCUCCUGCAUGGGGGUUGGUGGAAAGUUUUUCGGCCAGGGAGGGGCUCGCGGCCUAUCAGCUUGUUGGCGGGGUAACGGCCCACCAAGGCGACAACGGGUAGCCGGCCUGAGAGGGCGAUCGGCCACACUGGGACUGAGACACGGCCCAGACUCCUACGGGAGGCAGCAGUGGGGAAUAUUGCACAAUGGGCGCAAGCCUGAUGCAGCGACGCCGCGUGGGGGAUGAAGGCCUUCGGGUUGUAACCCUUUCACCAGGAGCGAAUUCAGACGGUACCGUGGGGAAGAGCGCCGGCUAACUACGUGCCAGCAGCAGC